AGUGACAAAUUGAGUUGUGAUUCGUGCGGAGUUGAGUUUCGUUACGGUCCGAGUUUGAGUUGUUUCAAUUAUUUUAUCGCUUUGUCGGUUUGUUUAUUACGUUAAGUGAUUCCAACGAUUCGCGGGGAUCUUAUUGAGUUUCCUCUUCUUUAUUUUUUUCCUUUCUUGACCAUUUUCCUUUAAUUUUUACCCAGACCCGUUUUACAAUUCCAUAGUUAGUGCGGUCUCCCGUUCGAUAUGCAAGAGGCUGAAGCCUCUUGCGAAAGCGAGGAGGGGAUUCCCGAAUCGCUUUCCUCGCCGAACUUUUCGUCUUCUUUAGACAUAUCCGUUCAGCAUAAUUUUUCUUCGGAAAAAAUUAUAGUUCCAUUGGAUCAGUUUUCGGAAUUUGUUUUGCGCCAUGGCAGUACAGAAUCACACGAUCAACAUGGCGUCGCAGAGAGGGCAGCCUCCAGUUAUAAUGGAAGUAAUGUACGAAAACGAGCAUCAAUAGCAGCCUCCGGCAGUCCGGAAAGGAAAAGAGCUUCUGAGACCGCGGAUGCGGAUAAGGCCUUAAAGGGGGGGUCUGAGGUCGGCCCUAGUGAGGGUCAGAACAAACAAGAUAUUCAGGCGAGUCGGGCUUCAAAAAUCAGGUAUUCGUAUUCUGAUAAGCCGCCAUAUUCGGUUUUCAUCCAGCCAACCAUUGAUAAUAAAGAAUCAUUUGUGCAUCCGCGUACUAUUAGCAGAGUUUUGUCCACGAUUACACCUAUAGAGUUGAUUGAGGUUAAGAAGACCGGGCGCGGAAGAGUAGUGGCGGAUUUUCGUACUUUUAGCGCGGCAAAUAGUGUAAUUAAUCAUCCGGAAUUAACAAAGUUGAAGCUUAAGGCUUAUAUUCCUGAAUUUAAAGUAUUGAGAUCGGGCAUUAUUAAGGAUGUCCCGCAGAGUUUGGACAUGGCAACGAUGAUCAAACACAUGGAAUCAUCGAUAAAGGUAGUUGAUGUUGAGCGUCUUAAUCGAAGGAUCACCGCUGACGGACAAACACAGUUUGCACCAUCUCGCACGCUUAAGUUAAGGUUCGCAGGGCAGUCUUUACCAAAGAAUGUUUACUUGUUUAAGGUUAGACACGAAGUCACACCAUUUUUGCCGAAGACCAGGAUAUGCUACACCUGCUUCAGGGUGGGACAUGUUAGUAGCAGCUGUAAGGGGAAACCACGUUGUAUAACUUGUGGCAAGGAUAAACACACGGAAUCGAAUCCAUGUUUGAUCUUACGAUGGCAUCCACAUCGGUGGCCGCUUGUUCCCAUGCUACAACGCUAUCGGACAACAUGGGUAGCGAUCAUUUCCCAAUAGAGGUCGAAAUCGGAUGUAAUGCUAUUCCGAUCAACCGCUUUGUACAUAAGAUCCAUCUCUCGAAACAGGAGACGAGAAUUUUUGCCAGGAAAUUAGAGAGACAAAGGAACAUGUUGCCUCUAGAGUCUGCAGACGACGCACUUUCCUCAUACGAGGUACUGGUCUCGCUAAUACGAGGUGAGGCUAUGGAAUGCGCUAGCGGUGAGUCCUCUCAUCCCAAGACGAGGACGGUUCUCCCGCGCCGCAGGCCGGCCCCAUGGUGGAACGAUAUUUGUUCUCGUGCGGUGCAACAACGCAAACAGGCAAUGGAAGCUUACAAGCAUCGUCCGACGGCAGAAAAUUACUCCGUUUAUAGAAAGUGUUCCGUGCCAUCGAAAAGGCAUUGGCCAGCAUAUUCUCGUUCCUUAGGGAUAGAGGUUUGGAACUCUCUGCAUCAAAAUCGCAGGGUAUAAUAUUUACGCGAAAAA
This 1793-nucleotide unclassified non-coding RNA is filed under the name Ooceraea biroi (clonal raider ant). RNAcentral describes it as "uncharacterized LOC105286184, transcript variant X1". Lineage: Eukaryota; Metazoa; Arthropoda; Insecta; Hymenoptera; Formicidae. The record is from RNAcentral.